UAAAAUUCUGCGAAGAGAAAAGUAGGUUCGAAAAACAUUUAGAGAGAUCUUGGUUGGUGAAAAAGAUCUGUUGGAAGAAUUGAAAAUGGUCUCUGAGAAAAAUUGUUGAUAGGUAAACAGUUUCGGGUGAUGUCUACUCGUUAAAAAAAGGCACCGAUAGUAUGUUUUGUCGGCAUAAGAGAAGGAAACUUCUAAAAAAAGGUGGUACCACGAUUAUUCGUCCUUUUA
This 228-nucleotide non-coding RNA is filed under the name Tetragenococcus muriaticus. RNAcentral's name for it is "T-box sequence". It matches the Rfam family "T-box leader". From Rfam's summary of the family: Uncharged tRNA acts as the effector for transcription antitermination of genes in the T-box leader family. The record is from RNAcentral. Lineage: Bacteria; Bacillati; Bacillota; Bacilli; Lactobacillales; Enterococcaceae.